Molecule: long non-coding RNA, 427 nt
Filed under: Erythranthe guttata (spotted monkey flower)
Lineage: Eukaryota; Viridiplantae; Streptophyta; Magnoliopsida; Lamiales; Phrymaceae
Description: long non-coding RNA (EGUT_LNC000754)
Source: RNAcentral
UCCUAGCUAGCUAUCUCUUUCCAUAAUGGAGAUGGUAGGUAUAAUUAUUUAUAGUUUCUCUCUCUAGAUUUUCUGUAUCUGGAAGAGAGAGAAAGGGAGAGAGAGAGGGCGUGGAGCCCAAAACUGGUCCUCUGCUUUGCUGGAUCGAAGCUCUCGAUUGUUGGUUUUUAAUGGUGUUUGUCUGCUGAGAUAUACCACAGUUUCAGUUGCCCCAAUCAAACACCACCAUUGCACUACUGUAAUUCUAAUUCAAAUACCAACUCUCUCUCUCUCUCUCUCUCUCUCUACUGUUUCUUCUCUCUCUCUCUCAUCGAUAAUUUCUGUUUUGCAGCUCUGUUUUCUCUCUCCCCCAUUUCUGAGUUUUUCCUUCUUCUUCAAAUACUUCAUCAUCAUCUUCUUGUACUUGUAAUUGCGCACAAACAAAAUU